Molecule: ribosomal RNA, 478 nt
Filed under: uncultured bacterium
Lineage: Bacteria
Description: partial 16S ribosomal RNA
Rfam family: Bacterial small subunit ribosomal RNA
Source: RNAcentral
GACGAACGCUGGCGGCGUGCUUAACACAUGCAAGUCGAACGGUAAGGCCCUUCGGGGUACACGAGUGGCGAACGGGUGAGUAACACGUGGGUGAUCUGCCCUGCACUUCGGGAUAAGCCCGGGAAACUGGGUCUAAUACCGGAGAGGACCACUGCCUGCAUGGGUGGUGGUGGAAAGCUUUUGCGGUGUGGGAUGGGCCCGCGGCCUAUCAGCUUGUUGGUGGGGUGAUGGCCUACCAAGGCGACGACGGGUAGCCGGCCUGAGAGGGUGACCGGCCACACUGGGACUGAGAUACGGCCCAGACUCCUACGGGAGGCAGCAGUGGGGAAUAUUGCACAAUGGGCGCAAGCCUGAUGCAGCGACGCCGCGUGAGGGAUGACGGCCUUCGGGUUGUAAACCUCUUUCAGCACCGACGAAGCGCAAGUGACGGUAGGUGCAGAAGAAGGACCGGCCAACUACGUGCCAGCAGCCGCAGUAA